This 303-nucleotide ribosomal RNA is filed under the name uncultured bacterium. RNAcentral's name for it is "bacterial SSU rRNA". It matches the Rfam family "Bacterial small subunit ribosomal RNA", at positions 342 to 793 of the family's 1533-position model. The record is from RNAcentral.
CGGGAGGCAGCAGUGGGGAAUAUUGCACAAUGGGGGAAACCCUGAUGCAGCCAUGCCGCGUGUGUGAAGAAGGCCUUCGGGUUGUAAAGCACUUUCAGUAGGGAGGAAGGUAGUGUAGUUAACACCUGCAUUAUUUGACGUUACCUACAGAAGAAGCACCGGCUAACUCCGUGCCAGCAGCCGCGGUAAUACGGAGGGUGCGAGCGUUAAUCGGAAUACCAGUGGCGAAGGCGGCCCCCUGGACAAAGACUGACGCUCAGAUGCGAAAGCGUGGGGAGCAAACAGGAUUAGAUACCCUGGUAG